This 253-nucleotide ribosomal RNA is filed under the name uncultured bacterium. Its description in RNAcentral is "partial 16S ribosomal RNA". It matches the Rfam family "Bacterial small subunit ribosomal RNA", at positions 524 to 776 of the family's 1533-position model. The record is from RNAcentral.
UACGGAGGGUGCAAGCGUUAAUCGGAAUUACUGGGCGUAAAGCGCACGCAAGCGGUCUGUCAAGUCUGACGUGAAAUCUCUUGGCUUAACUGGGAGCGGUCGUUGGAAACUGAUAGGCUUGAGGCGAUGAGAGGGGUGCAGAAUUCCUGGUGUAGUGGUGGAAUGCGUAGAUAUCAGGAGGAAUACCUGUGGCGAAAGCGGCACCCUGGCGUCGUGCUGACGCUCAUGUGCGAAAGCGUGGGGAGCGAACGGG